RNAcentral lists this long non-coding RNA (291 nucleotides) under Elaeis guineensis (African oil palm). RNAcentral describes it as "long non-coding RNA (EGUI_LNC014559)". Lineage: Eukaryota; Viridiplantae; Streptophyta; Magnoliopsida; Arecales; Arecaceae. The record is from RNAcentral.
GAACGGAGGAGACGAGCUCGGCCACGCCUGCCCAGGCGGCCUUCGCAGUCGAUGUUCCUUCGGACGUCGAACCUCCGGUUCCCCGAGCCUCUUCUAGGAGUCCUCCUACUGAGGUUCCCGUUUCGGGGGUCCGUUCCGCGGAGGCGCCCGGGGUCGAGAGGGGGAGGAGAAGAAAGUCGGUGGCCCACAGGGUGAGUAGCCGCCGGGCCGCCAUCGAAGAGUCCCACGGUUCCGAAGAAGAGCCGGGGGAGAAUCCCUUCAAUGAUAGGGACUUGAUAAAGCGGCUGAUUG